This 467-nucleotide ribosomal RNA is filed under the name uncultured bacterium. Its description in RNAcentral is "partial 16S ribosomal RNA". It matches the Rfam family "Bacterial small subunit ribosomal RNA", at positions 28 to 506 of the family's 1533-position model. The record is from RNAcentral.
GACGAACGCUGGCGGCGUGCUUAACACAUGCAAGUCGAACGGAAAGGCCCUGCUUUUGUGGGGUGCUCGAGUGGCGAACGGGUGAGUAACACGUGAGUAACCUGCCCUUGACUUUGGGAUAACUUCAGGAAACUGGGGCUAAUACCGGAUAGGAGCUCCUGCUGCAUGGUGGGGGUUGGAAAGUUUCGGCGGUUGGGGAUGGACUCGCGGCUUAUCAGCUUGUUGGUGGGGUAGUGGCUUACCAAGGCUUUGACGGGUAGCCGGCCUGUGAGGGUGACCGGCCACAUUGGGACUGAGAUACGGCCCAGACUCCUACGGGAGGCAGCAGUGGGGAAUAUUGCACCAUGGGCGGAAGCCUGAUGCAGCAACGCCGCGUGCGGGAUGACGGCCUUCGGGUUGUAAACCGCUUUCGCCUGUGACGAAGCGUGAGUGACGGUAAUGGGUAAAGAAGCACCGGCUAACUACGU